AUGAAAGAAAAUUGUACAUUAUUAUGUGCCAUUAGCAGCUUGUUUCAUUAUUAUAAUUGUGAAGAGAUAGGUUUUUAUUGCUCAAUAAAUGCAAAUGCGCCAUUAAGCCUUAAUAUGGCAAAAAGAUAGUAUGCGUCAAUGUUUUAAAUACGAAACAAUAAUUACUUUUCAAUAAUUUUCAACAUUUUUAUCCUAAACUGACCCCCUUGCAACUCAUCCCCUACAAUCCAUCACACUCGCGACAGCCACACAUGAGAAUGUGAGGAAAAUCCGCAUACAUGCUCUAUAGAUAGAAACCACAGGUCGUCGACAGCGCGCCCGGCCACAGUUGUGCAUUUUCCGCAACAAAGGGGGAACACACACAAACCCGGAAACCCUCGCUCUAGCUCUACGCUCGCCUUGUUGUCUCUCGGGUGUUCGAGACAGAAUGCAUCCCUGCCUGCCAUCAGACAUCGCGAGUCAUUGACCUCCGCAGACUCCAGACAGAACAUUCAGAAGUUUCCCUCUCCCGGGGUGUCCCUCGCAUUUUUUUCCGGAUUGUAUUUCAUUUGUCCAUUCUCGCUUCUCAAUGUGUCACACAGCCACAGCGUCGACGGGUCGUCCCUCCUCAUUUUUCCGAAUAGAGUAAAUGUGCAACGAUUUGUUUUCAAACCGUGUGACGCGUUGCUGCACUGCGAUUGCAUACAUUUAGGGGCGAGCACACGUGCGCUGCACUGUGAGUCCGCUAGAGUUCUAGUUGGCCAUGAGAACGGUCAUUUUGAAAUUAUUCUAAAACUGCUAUCAAGCAGAUGAUGUCACGCAGAUUGCAUAAUUUAAGGCGUUUUUUCUCCAUUGGACUUGCAAUCUAAAGAGGGAAAUGGUAAAAAAUAGAAUCUAAUCGCAAAAUGGGACCCGGCGCCGCGCAGUAAAAAUAACACACUGCACAAACACACACCGCCGGACGGGUGGUAAUGUUUAAUGCCUUUUUGUACACCUUUUUACACUCCCUCCGCUGUGGUUAUCAGUAACAAGCAGUACCAACAGCAACAGCAGGGAGAGCAAGGUCAACCCAAAGCAGAAGCCCGUGUGCAUUCCUUGUGUACAUGGCACUGGCUUCUCUUUAUCACCUCUCCAUACACAGCAUGUGGGGAAAUGUAGCGCGACUGUGGCUGCGGGGCUCCGAUGAUGGAUGGGCCUAGUGCCUGCUGUUAGUUUUGUGCGACUGGCCGCGUAAAGUGAAAAUAUAAACGCGCUCUUUCUGCUUCCGCGGGGCCGGUAAAUUUGCUCAUUAUCAUCCAAAUCUCAACCAGCUGGACCUUCAACGGAAACGGUGUUACAAAAACAUGAAGCCAGAAUCAUCAACUGGCCUAUCAAUACUGCCCUUCUACCUCUUCAAUUGUACCAAAAAUACGUAACCCAUGCGAUUGAAGUCGAACGCGCGUCGUCUUAUGUCGUCAGAGCCUAAAUUUCGCCUUGCACACGCAGCAGCAGCAGUUCGAUCGUGCACAGACGCUAAUGGGCCAAACAAACACGCUGCAAUUAUCAAUCAAACGCUACCCAGAUAUAGUUAUGCUUAGGAGGAGCGUUUGGGUUGGGUUUUGGGUUUGAUUGAGCAAGCGUGAAACCGACCGAUUCCCAAACAUCUUACACCCUUUGAAACCCUGAAGUCUCCCCAUACUCCCAUCAAUUGACGUCGUCGUCUUCGUCGUCAUCGUCUUCCCUCAAACCGAAUCAGUGCCCUACUACUGCUGCGCAAAUACAACAUCAUAACCCACAGAAUGUAAAUGCCCCCUCACCAAUGUUUUGACCCUGAAAUUAUCUAAUCACACACACACACACACACACUCUUCCCUGCGCCCGCUGUGUCCGUGCUUAAGUGUCCAUCAAACUUCUGCAAUCUUUGGACAUUGGGAUGAACCAAGGAGAGGAUAGGCCAACGGGCAGUGAAGAGGUUGGGUGCAUACAGGUCGAAAGCAGUACUUGAAGCGAAAAACUGGGAAACUUCAAUUAAUUGAAGUAUCGGAACCCACUCGAACUUAACAAUCUGCAUCCUGGCUGUCCGUCUGUCUCUGCCUGUGUUUGUGUUGAUCCGAAUUCCCCGAGGGGGUGACAGCUCCGACACGAGUUUGGGACGUCAAAUGAAAGCUCCCAGUCCUUGCCAUAUAGAACACGUGUAUGGGAGCCCCUCCCCAGUGUGUGUGUGUGUCGUCUAGAGGAAAAAACCUUGUAAGGUUAUUGACAUUACUUCCGAAACCGUGCACACACACUCACAUCGUCCCGCGUCCGUUCCGUCCAUCAUGUGUUUGGUGGUGGCCCCUUAUUCCUACGGGAUACAAACACAGCAGAGCAGCGCGACACGACGACGACUACCACCACCACACAAAGCCGCUGUAUAUGACACGGAGGGCGCGCACCGGGGAUGAUGACAGCAGUAAUAGUAGCGCUGGCCAGUUCUACUACUACUAAUACUAAUACUACUCCACUACCUCUAUUACUGUGGCGUAAAUGUAGCGCGCUAUAAAUGCUAUAAUACAGUGUUUUUGCUGCGGUCUGGAGUGAAACAAAAUACAAGCGCAAGCGUGUCUCUUCUCUCUA
Long non-coding RNA from Anopheles coluzzii, 2574 nucleotides. RefSeq lists it as uncharacterized. Lineage: Eukaryota; Metazoa; Arthropoda; Insecta; Diptera; Culicidae. The record is from RefSeq and is a predicted model, not a curated record. The transcript is spliced from 2 exons.